Oncorhynchus nerka (sockeye salmon) is the source of this 582-nucleotide long non-coding RNA. RefSeq lists it as uncharacterized. The record is from RefSeq and is a predicted model, not a curated record. NCBI's taxonomy places the organism in Eukaryota, Metazoa, Chordata, Actinopteri, Salmoniformes, Salmonidae. The transcript has 3 exons.
UGGAGUGUCUGCAGGACCACCUGGAAGACCUGCUGUCAGGGUGUGGAGAGGUGGUGGGCAACCUGACAGAGCUGCAGUCUGAGGACAUUCAUAUUGAGGCCCUGCUGUUCCGGGCCUGUCAACCCGUCAUCCAGUCUCACUGCCAUGAUGUAUCUGAUAACCAGGUGGAUACGGGGGAUGUGAUGGAGUGUCUGGUUCAGAACAAACACAUUUCUCUCCUCUCUCCUCUCUCUCUCCUCUCUCUCUCCUCUCUCUCUCUCUCUCUCCUCUCUCUCCUCUCUCUCCUCUCUCUCUCCUCUCUCUCUCUCCUCUCUCUCCUCUCUCUAGGAUGUAUCUGAUAACCAGGUGGAUACGGGGGAUGUGAUGGAGUGUCUGGUUCAGAACAAACACAUUUCUCUCCUCUCUCUCUCUCUCUCUCUCUCCUCUCUCUCCUCUCUCUCUCCUCUCUCUCUCUCUCCUCUCCUCUCUCUCUCCUCUCUCUCUCUCCUCUCUCUCCUCUCUCUAGGAUGUAUCUGAUAACCAGGUGGAUACAGGGGAUGUGAUGGAGUGUCUGGUUCAGAACAAACACAUCUCUCUCCUCUC